ACGCGAGGAACCUUACCAGGUCUUGACAUCCCACUGACCGCUAUGGAGACAUAGCUUUCCCUUCGGGGACAGUGGUGACAGGUGGUGCAUGGUUGUCGUCAGCUCGUGUCGUGAGAUGUUGGGUUAAGUCCCGCAACGAGCGCAACCCUUGUUCUUAGUUGCCAUCAUUUAGUUGGGCACUCUAAGGAGACUGCCGGUGACAAACCGGAGGAAGGUGGGGAUGACGUCAAAUCAUCAUGCCCCUUAUGACCUGGGCUACACACGUGCUACAAUGGACGGUACAAACGGUUGCCAACCCGCGAGGGGGAGCUAAUCCGAUAAAACCGUUCUCAGUUCGGAUUGUAGGCUGCAACUCGCCUACAUGAAGCCGGAAUCGCUAGUAAUCGCGGAUCAGCAUGCCGCGGUGAAUACGUUCCCGGGCCUUGUACACACCGCCCGU
This 439-nucleotide ribosomal RNA is filed under the name uncultured bacterium. Its description in RNAcentral is "bacterial SSU rRNA". It matches the Rfam family "Bacterial small subunit ribosomal RNA", at positions 959 to 1397 of the family's 1533-position model. The record is from RNAcentral.